GCAAUAAUAGCUCAAGUAUAGAGCGUUGGUCUUGUAAACCAAAGGCUAAGUAAUAUAUACUUUUGUUGCUC
This 71-nucleotide transfer RNA is filed under the name Notocochlis gualtieriana. Its description in RNAcentral is "tRNA-Thr". It matches the Rfam family "tRNA". From Rfam's summary of the family: Transfer RNA (tRNA) molecules are approximately 80 nucleotides in length. Their secondary structure includes four short double-helical elements and three loops (D, anti-codon, and T loops). Further hydrogen bonds mediate the characteristic L-shaped molecular structure. tRNAs have two regions of fundamental functional importance: the anti-codon, which is responsible for specific mRNA codon recognition, and the 3' end, to which the tRNAs corresponding amino acid is attached (by aminoacyl-tRNA synthetases). tRNAs cope with the degeneracy of the genetic code in two manners: having more than one tRNA (with a specific anti-codon) for a particular amino acid; and 'wobble' base-pairing, i.e. permitting non-standard base-pairing at the 3rd anti-codon position. The record is from RNAcentral. Lineage: Eukaryota; Metazoa; Mollusca; Gastropoda; Littorinimorpha; Naticidae.